Molecule: unclassified non-coding RNA, 336 nt
Filed under: soil metagenome
Description: partial contains 5.8S ribosomal RNA, internal transcribed spacer 2, and large subunit ribosomal RNA
Rfam family: 5.8S ribosomal RNA (bases 1-120)
Source: RNAcentral
GAUGAAGAACGCAGCGAAAUGCGAUAAGUAAUGUGAAUUGCAGAAUUCAGUGAAUCAUCGAAUCUUUGAACGCACAUUGCGCCCGCCAGUAUUCUGGCGGGCAUGCCUGUUCGAGCGUCAUUUCAACCAUCAAGCCCCCGGCUUGUGUUGGGGACCUGCGACUGCCGCAGGCCCUGAAAAGCAGUGGCGGGCUCGCUGUCACACCGAGCGUAGUAGCAUACAUCUCGCUCUGGGCGUGCUGCGGGUUCCGGCCGUUAAACCACCUUCAUAACCCAAGGUUGACCUCGGAUCAGGUAGGAAGACCCGCUGAACUUAAGCAUAUCAAUAAGCGGAGGA